This 497-nucleotide ribosomal RNA is filed under the name uncultured bacterium. RNAcentral describes it as "partial 16S ribosomal RNA". It matches the Rfam family "Bacterial small subunit ribosomal RNA", at positions 28 to 507 of the family's 1533-position model. The record is from RNAcentral.
GACGAACGCUGGCGGCGUGCCUAAUACAUGCCAGUUGAGCGAUGAAGAUUGGUGCUUGCACCAAUUUGAAGAGCAGCGAACGGGUGAGUAACGCGUGGGGAAUCUGGCUUUGAGCGGGGGACAACAUUUGGAAACGAAUGCUAAUACCGCAUAACAACUUUAAACAUAAGUUUUAAGUUUGAAAGAUGCAAUUGCAUCACUCAAAGAUGAUCCCGCGUUGUAUUAGCUAGUUGGUGAGGUAAAGGCUCACCAAGGCGAUGAUACAUAGCCGACCUGAGAGGGUGAUCGGCCACAUUGGGACUGAGACACGGCCCAAACUCCUACGGGAGGCAGCAGUAGGGAAUCUUCGGCAAUGGACGAAAGUCUGACCGAGCAACGCCGCGUGAGUGAAGAAGGUUUUCGGAUCGUAAAACUCUGUUGGUAGAGAAGAACGUUGGUGAGAGUGGAAAGCUCAUCAAGUGACGGUAACUACCCAGAAAGGGACGGCUAACUACGUG